GCCUGGCUGGCUCAGUUGGUAGAGCAUGCGACUCUUGAUCUCAGGGUCAUGAGUUCGAGUCCCACGUUGGGCA
This 73-nucleotide transfer RNA is filed under the name Ailuropoda melanoleuca (giant panda). It matches the Rfam family "tRNA". From Rfam's summary of the family: Transfer RNA (tRNA) molecules are approximately 80 nucleotides in length. Their secondary structure includes four short double-helical elements and three loops (D, anti-codon, and T loops). Lineage: Eukaryota; Metazoa; Chordata; Mammalia; Carnivora; Ursidae. The record is from Rfam by way of RNAcentral.